CUUAAUUUGAAGACUUAACAUUUUGACAAUUGCAUGAGGAUUCAUCUUCAGUUCUUAGAAGACAGGCCAGAGGAAAACAAACAUGUCAACUUAGAUAAAUAUCACCGAUCAUUUGGAUCCAGGCAAUAAAAAUUAUGAACACGCUAUAAUCUCGGUGGCAUUCAGCAGCCUUUUCUUUACAUCAUUUUGCAAUGUCAGAGAUUACAUGCGGAAUUAGCAACAGAAAAUCUAAAUGCAUGAUGGCUAGGAAAUGCCACCUUGGAAAAGCACCUCCUUCUUUAGCAAUUGCAAGAUAAAACAUAAGAGAGAAUAAGCAUUAUAUACAUAAGCCCAUUAUUGCACCAUUCCUAAUCUUGUUGCUGUGAGCUCGACCAUGGGGUAGAUGCCACAUUUGAAAUGCAGAUCUCAACAUGUAACACCUCAUGAAUGGCACCACGGCGAAGGACACCCAAAACCUCCUCCCCCUUGUUUGUUAGAAGAUCUGCCAAAGAUACCAUACGAGAAUGAGAUUCAUCUCUCAUGCGGAAGCCAUAAAACCAUCUGCCAAGCUUCCACCAUUUCACACAAACUUGUCGUUCUGAGAUUUUGCAACUCAGGAGUGCAUCCAUGACAUGCCUAACCUGCCCAUUAUUACAUCCAAAUAUCAAACAAGGAACAGCACAUAAUAGGAAAAAGCCCUGGAACAUCUAAAGGUAAAUCUAUAAAGAUAAUGGAGCAUGGGCUGCCACUUUUAGAUUAAUGCACAUGAGUUCCACAUCUCUAGAUGAGCAAUUGAGCAUGCACACUAUUUUCUCCAUAUGCAAAUCAGGCAGUCAUGUUUCUGCUGUGGACGUUGAUUAGUGCUCCAAUUGGAGGUCAUUCUUCUUUGAGUUUCUUAGGCCAAAUUUCUAACACAGCAGCACAAUACUUGCUGAUUUUAAACAAUAGCCUAGAAGACCUGAGCUAGCUGUUGCUUGAAGGUGGACUGGUUAAGAAGCUUGGGAUUAAGUACUUGAGUGAUUUCUCCAGCUGGUGAAUCAAAUUGAUCAAACCCAUGUUCAAGCUAGGCCUGAAGUGCAAAUAUUUACUACCUUAAACUCAAAGAUCCAGAAACUUAGGCUACUCACAGCAAUAUCAAUUUCUCCUCAAAGUUGAUAUAAAGGCAUACAAAAUAUCAAGGGUUUUACACAAAUGGCGUAUUAGUCACAUUUCAUAGCAUGAGGACCUGAAGAAAUGUUCACUGAUAAAAGGAUUGCCAAUCAAAGAAUUAAAAGAUGCUAACCUCAUCCAUCUAAACAAAAGUAAUCAACACCGUGAAACAAACAAAAAAAGUGCAAGAGCAGUUUACCUGCACUUGAAGGCAGAAAAUGCAGUAGUGCAAACCAAUCAAGUUAAGCAGCACAUUCAGCUUUGGUUUGAAAAGAAACAUUUGGACAUCCCUAAAUGCAAGCUGCUUCGAACACAAUUCUUCAACUGCUUUGUAAUAGUCCCCAAACGCGAGCGACUUAUUAGAUGAAGAGCAAUGCUCCACAAACUCAACCACAGCAGUAGCGUUACCCGCCAUCUCUCUAUGCAUCCUUAUGUAAAUCUGCCUCCAUCCCUUGAUGAUGAUAGGAUCCGAAGAAGAAGAAGAAGAAUUGUUGGGAAAAGUAACCAAAGGCCAUCUUUCUCUGGUAAGAGACUCCCAUAAGCAAUCCAACCCGCAUAGCUCCCUCCAAAAUCGAGAACAACUACCCAAUGCACACACAUCCAAUACCUCAAGAGUGGAAGCGAUUUUCAGGGCAAUUUCGAGGGGAAGGGAGCUCUGUAUAUUACUUGAUAUUUGUUUCAUUUCUUGCUCUUCGUGGAAGAAUUGUUUGGCUUUCAAUAAUCGAGUUCUGGAGUUUACAUAUGAUCGAUAAUAGAAUGAUUUUAUUUUCUGUUGGAUUUCCUCCUGAUUCUUGAAUUGGGGUCAAACUCUCAAGAGUCAAA
Molecule: unclassified non-coding RNA, 1950 nt
Filed under: Hevea brasiliensis (rubber tree)
Lineage: Eukaryota; Viridiplantae; Streptophyta; Magnoliopsida; Malpighiales; Euphorbiaceae
Source: RNAcentral